GUCCUGUUGAUUAUAAUUUUAGGUCUGACCUGCUCGAUGAUUGAAAUUAAAUGGCCGCGGUAUAUUGACCGUGCAAAGGUAGCAUAAUCAUUAGUUUUUUAAUUUAAAGCUGGAAUGAAUGGUUUGAUGAAAAAAUAUCUGUCUCUGUGAGAAUUUUUUAGAAUUUUAUUUUUAAGUGAAAACGCUUAAAUGAUUAUAGAAGACGAGAAGACCCUAUAGAGUUUUAUAUUUUUUUUGAAGUUUUAUUUUGUGGAAAUAAUAAUUUUCUUUAAUUAGAGUAUUUUGUUGGGGUGAUAAAAAAAUUUAUUAAACUUUUUUUAUAAUUAAACAUUUAUUUUUGAUUUUUUGAUCCUUUUGUAAAGAUUGAAAGACUAAAUUACCUUAGGGAUAACAGCGUAAUUCUUUUUAGAGUUCUUAUCGAAAGAAGGGAUUGCGACCUCGAUGUUGGAUUAAAAUUUUUUGUUGGUGAAGAAGCUAAUAAUAAUAGGUCUGUUCGACCUUUAAAAUUUUACAUGAUCUGAGUUUAGACCGGCGUGAG
Molecule: ribosomal RNA, 538 nt
Filed under: Trigonopterus sp. 757 AR-2022a
Lineage: Eukaryota; Metazoa; Arthropoda; Insecta; Coleoptera; Curculionidae
Description: partial large subunit ribosomal RNA
Rfam family: Bacterial large subunit ribosomal RNA
Source: RNAcentral